This 288-nucleotide ribosomal RNA is filed under the name Triticum aestivum (bread wheat). Its description in RNAcentral is "partial small subunit ribosomal RNA". Lineage: Eukaryota; Viridiplantae; Streptophyta; Magnoliopsida; Poales; Poaceae. The record is from RNAcentral.
AUGAUGCUCAUGGGCAGCUUAUCUCUUAUUGGAUUUCCUUUUCUAACAGGAUUUUAUUCUAAAGAUGUGAUCUUAGAGCUCGCUUACACAAAGUAUACCACAAGUGGGAACUUUGCUUUCUGGUUGGGAAGUGUCUCUGUCCUUUUCACUUCUUAUUACUCCUUUCGUUUACUAUUUCUAACAUUUCUAGUACCAACUAAUUCAUGUUGGAUGAUGCACCCAUUCGCCAUUCCUUUAAUACUUUUGGCUCUCGGGAGUCUCUUUGUAGGAUACUUGGCCAAAGUGUGA